ACAUAAAAACAGGGGCGCCGAAAGGCUGAGAUCUGCACGUGGCAGAGUACCCUCGAACCUGAUCCGGGUAAUGUCGGCGUAGGUAGUUUGCGGAAAGUCCGG
This is a regulatory RNA element of Faecalibacterium sp. CAG:82, 102 nucleotides long. It matches the Rfam family "TPP riboswitch aptamer (THI element)". From Rfam's summary of the family: Vitamin B(1) in its active form thiamin pyrophosphate (TPP) is an essential coenzyme that is synthesised by coupling of pyrimidine and thiazole moieties in bacteria. The previously detected thiamin-regulatory element, thi box was extended, resulting in a new, highly conserved RNA secondary structure, the THI element, which is widely distributed in eubacteria and also occurs in some archaea. Analysis of operon structures identified a large number of new candidate thiamin-regulated genes, mostly transporters, in various prokaryotic organisms. Lineage: Bacteria; Bacillati; Bacillota; Clostridia; Eubacteriales; Oscillospiraceae. The record is from Rfam.